UUCUGGCUCAGGAUGAACGCUAGCGACAGGCCUAACACAUGCAAGUCGAGGGGCAGCGGAUUGAAGCUUGCUUUAAUUGCCGGCGACCGGCGCACGGGUGCGUAACAGGUGUGCAAUCGUGUCCAUAGUCGGGGAAUAGCCCAGCGAAAGUUUGGAUUAAUGCUCCAUGUGAAUCGAGACCGCAUGAUCUUUGAUUUGAAACGUUAAGGACUAUGGGUGAGCACGCUUCUGAUUUAGAUAGUUGGUGGGGUAACGGCUCACCAAGUCGACGAUCAGUAGGGGUUCUGAGAGGAAGGUCCCCCACAUUGGAACUGAGACACGGUCCAAACUCCUACGGGAGGCAGCAGUGAGGAAUAUUGGUCAAUGGGCGAGAGCCUGAACCAGCCAAGUCGCGUGAAAAGGAUGAAGGUUCUAUGGAUUGUAAACUUCUUUUGUCCGAGGGUAAAAAAGGCCACGUGUGGCUUCUUGCAAGUAUCGGACGAAUAAGCAUCGGCUAACUCCGUGCCAGCAGCAGC
This 515-nucleotide ribosomal RNA is filed under the name uncultured bacterium. RNAcentral's name for it is "bacterial SSU rRNA". It matches the Rfam family "Bacterial small subunit ribosomal RNA", at positions 17 to 518 of the family's 1533-position model. The record is from RNAcentral.